This 422-nucleotide ribosomal RNA is filed under the name uncultured bacterium. RNAcentral describes it as "partial 16S ribosomal RNA". It matches the Rfam family "Bacterial small subunit ribosomal RNA", at positions 360 to 774 of the family's 1533-position model. The record is from RNAcentral.
AAUCUUCCACAAUGGGCGAAAGCCUGAUGGAGCAACGCCGCGUGUGUGAAGAAGGUUUUCGGAUCGUAAAACUCUGUUGUAAGGGAAGAACAAGUACAGUAGUAACUGGCUGUACCUUGACGGUACCUUAUUAGAAAGCCACGUCUAACUACGUCCCAGCAGCCGCGGUAAUACGUAGGUGGCUAGCGUUGUCCGGAAUUAUUGGGCGUAAAGCGAGCGCAGGCGGUCCUUUAAGUCUGAUGUGAAAGCACACGGCUGAACCGUGGAGGGUAAUUGGAAACUGGGGGACUAGAGUGCAGAAGAGGAAAGUGGAAUUCCAAGUGUAGCGGUGAAAUGCGUAGAGAUUUGGAGGAACACCAGUGGCGAAGGCGACUUUCUGGUCUGUAACUGACGCUGAGGCGCGAAAGCGUGGGGAGCAAACA